This 75-nucleotide transfer RNA is filed under the name Rikenellaceae bacterium. RNAcentral's name for it is "tRNA-Arg". It matches the Rfam family "tRNA". From Rfam's summary of the family: Transfer RNA (tRNA) molecules are approximately 80 nucleotides in length. Their secondary structure includes four short double-helical elements and three loops (D, anti-codon, and T loops). Further hydrogen bonds mediate the characteristic L-shaped molecular structure. tRNAs have two regions of fundamental functional importance: the anti-codon, which is responsible for specific mRNA codon recognition, and the 3' end, to which the tRNAs corresponding amino acid is attached (by aminoacyl-tRNA synthetases). tRNAs cope with the degeneracy of the genetic code in two manners: having more than one tRNA (with a specific anti-codon) for a particular amino acid; and 'wobble' base-pairing, i.e. permitting non-standard base-pairing at the 3rd anti-codon position. The record is from RNAcentral. Lineage: Bacteria; Pseudomonadati; Bacteroidota; Bacteroidia; Bacteroidales; Rikenellaceae.
GGCUCUAUAGUUCAAGGGAUAGAACAAAGGUUUCCUAAACCUUAGAUUCGCGUUCGAGUCGCGGUGGAGCUACAA